This 7007-nucleotide long non-coding RNA is filed under the name Sus scrofa (pig). RNAcentral describes it as "lncRNA (ENSSSCG00000058174.1)". The record is from RNAcentral. Lineage: Eukaryota; Metazoa; Chordata; Mammalia; Artiodactyla; Suidae.
UCAUUUGCAUUUGCAAGUCAUACCACUAAAAUUCAGAAGUAUAAAAACUUAUUUUAUUAAAAUAAUUAGGCAUUUUUGCUGAAUGGAGUUAUCCAGAAAUUAUUUAUUCUGAAAUAAUGAAUUAGGUCAGAGUUAUUUUCAACUACAAGUGCAUGGUUUGUUCCAUAUUUUUUUGUUUUAACAUUUUGAAUUAUUCUGCUAAUAAAUGAAAUAGCAAAACAGUACAUGAAAAUUUAUAUUUGAAGUUUCUCAAUGGAAAAGGAACCCAAAUUAACAUGGGAAACUCAAUUACAACUUUUAAAUAAUAUAUUAGGACUCAGGAUCCUGAUUAAAACCAAAAAGGUCUCAUAUGAUAGGAAUAGCAUAGUUGGUGCUUUAAGUUUCCCCUUUAAAAUAACAUAACAAUGACAUUAAUCUAAAAGGUUAAAUGUCAUCAUUGAGUAAAAGAGCACAAAAAUAUCUCACAUAGUCAUGGCUACGUGCUGCACUGAUACAUUUCUUUAGCUAUUUUAGAAUCUGAACUUAUGACUGGGUCAUUUUCUGAUACUUAUUUGUAGAUUAAUUAAGGGGAAAAAUCAAAUGCAAAACUGCUUUUAAAUGUAUAAUACCUUUUAAUAAAAUCAAUUCUACCUGAAUUCUGGGGUAUUAAAUAUGUUUUCAUGGUGUAUCAAACAUUUGCUUUUCUUAAGUGUCUCCGUGAUGGAAAUUGCUUUGGUUGAAACUGAAGUUGUCUUAAUUUACAUAUGUAAGCAUAGACAUCUUGUAAAAAAGAAGACUCAAAAAGGGAUUGACUUAAUUUCUAACACGCAUCCUCCACCCACACAGAGGAACACAGAGAGUCGAGUGACCUCGGGACUUGCCUGAGACACCAAGGCAUCAUCUGAACUAGGCAUGCAUCCUUCUCCAUCAAUAAGAUCAUUAUUCAAGGCACAGAUGUGCCUCCAACAUUGUCUGUCUGCCUCCAAAUCAAUUCAAUGCUCCUGCAGCCGCAAUCUUCCCUGAACUCUUGGAAAUGUGGCCCAAAGAUGGAUGUAAAUCACACCAUUUACUAAUGCUAAGAAAAGAUCUUGCUAUGGUGUCUGUUGGAGUUAAUAUAUAUUAGGCAUCUCAUUUAGGGAUGCUUGCCAGAGCAACACUGUAGGUAAGGUUAUGACAUGAAAAGUCUAGAACUAGUUUAUAUUUGCCAAUAUUGGGCUGUUUUGGGGGGAAAGAGGCAGAGAAGAGGAAGCUGUUUGCAAAAAUAGACUAUUUCAUUCUACCAGACAGGCUCAAGGAGAAGUCUUAAGCACAUCUUGUAACAUUCUGUGUGGAGACCACUGGGGGAAGAGAGAUGAGAUAACCAAACUCAGCACCAACUUUCAAAGACACAGAGGUCAACAGAGGUAAUAAAACAAAAAUUGCAAACCAUCAACUUUACCACUCAAGGAUUAUUGGGUAAAGCUGAAUUCAAAACUCAUUCUCUAUUCUCUUUCUGAAAACCAUCUUGGAAACAGAAAAAAAGCAAUUCAUGGUGAGUUCGAUGGGCUUAGUACACAUGAAAUAAUUCUGCUUUUCUUAAUUCCCUAAGGGCUAAUUUAUCCCUUAUCAUUACCCCAACGUUUACUUUUCCAACCAGAAUCUUGCCUGUUGUGGGUUUCUAUAUAAUGAAUUCAGUCUGUGCUGAGGGUAAAUGUAGGUCAGUCUUAUAGAAAGCUGCAUUAUUUAUAAUAGUGGUAUAAUCACGGAUCCAUAAUCUGUCAAUUAUUUAUUGGUGAUUACCAUAAUGUGCCAAUCACUUUUCUGUGGAGUGAAAUACUUUACAUAAAGAAAUAUAUUUUCUGAAUAACUGAUUCCUCUACUUCUUGACCCCUUUCUAUCAACUAUAUUUAAAGGAUUAGUAGUCCCUGAGAUGUAAAUAAUAAUGUAUGUUGCAAGCAAAUUCUGAUUUAAGUAUAUUACUUAUCAAAUAGAUGGCAUGCAAUAUAACAGUUAAGAAUAAUACUUCAAGCAUCAUGUGCAAUAGUUUCCUAUUUGUAAAUAUAUGUAAUAUAUUUCAGGUAAAUAUAUGUUGAUUUACCUGAAAUACUUGAAUUAGUAUUAUUAAAUUAUUAUGGUUUCAUGUCAACUUGAGAUAUUUUUCUGAAGGAAAACAAACAAACAAAAAAUAAAAUUCAAGAUCAAGCUAUCACGCUAUAACCCCAAAGUCUUUAAAAUAUUAAGUCUGACAAAUCAUAAUAUUCCUCAUGCCACUUACAGCAUGUCAAAAUAGUUAACGCUGAUAGGAAAUCAACAUCUGGCUUUUGAUUUAAAUUUUAUAUGUAGCAGCUGCUAAAUGCCAAUGAAUCAUGCUGCCAGCAGAUGACAUUCUAUGUAUAACAUCCACCCAGUCUCCAUCUCCAUAUAAAUAAUAAACUUUAUAUGAGAUUUCAAACCAUUCUAGCUUUCUGUAUGAAACAUCCACUACGGAGAUGAUGAAAGAAUGACAGUGUCCUUUUCAGAAACACAUAGAUUUUAGCAAGUUAACAUUAUUGUACAGAAACUAGAGAAAUGCUUUCUUUACGAUGGGGGUUCAGCAUGAGAUGAUUUUUGGAAAACAUAUAGUAGACUAAAAUAAACUGAUUUAGAAAUCUAGAGAUUAACAUCAAUACAAAAGGAGAAAAGAUAAGAUUAAGAAUUUUCUGACAUAUCACCUCUUUACAAUAUUAUCAAGUUUGGAUCCAAGUAAAUGGAAGAUAAUUUUACAUUAUCCUCUGAUUUCUUAGGAGUUGAAAAGACAAUUAGCAUUCCAGGGAGUGGUAGAAAUUUUUCAAAUUAAGUGUUCUGCCCAAACUGGAAGCCAGCCAAGCUGUUCUCUAAAAAUAUCAAUUUAAACUACUGUUUUCUAAAAUAGUGGAAAGAAGAUUUUGUCUCCUGGAUUUAGAUAAUUCCCAUGUUCCUAAACUACUUUUCACAUUUGAGCUUAUGCAGGUAAAAGAAGAGUAGUGAUGGAGUUCCUGUCAUGGAGCAGCGGAAAUGAAUCCAACUAGGAACCAUGAGAUUGCAGGUUAGAUCCCUGGCCUUGCUCAGUGGGUUAAGGAUCCAGUGCUGCCAUGAGCUAUGGUAUAGGUUGCAGAUGCGGCUCAGAUCUAGCAUUGCUGUGGCUGUGGUGUAGGCCAGCAGCUACAGCUCUGAUUUGACCCCUAGACUGGGAAUCUCCAAAUGCCACAGGUGAGGCCCUAAAAAGCAAAAAAAAAAAAAAAAGAGAGAAAGAGAGAAGAAUAGCAAGAUGCUGAAGUAUUGGUGUUUCCCCACAUCUUUUGUUUUUUUCAAUCUCUUCAAGUGCUUGUUGAAGGCAAUGAAUAAACUCUGUACCUUGGGCAACACCCUAGGAUGUUUUCACUGAAUGAUACUUAACAUCAAAUACAUCAUGUUAUUGUUGGUUUUGUGUAAUUUUAAUUCUGAAACCAUUUCACUUCCAUUUGAUAAAAAUCCACGAAUUCUGAGUGAACACUAUUACAGUGGUUUUGAUUUUUGUCUCAGUAUAGGAGGUAGCCUGGGGGAAGAUUGCCAACUGAAAGUAUAUUUUACAUCAUUGAAAAGGUAUCCUUGUAAGGAUUUUUAUAAAACCAUGUUCAAUGAAGCAAAACUACGAUAGUGUGGAUUUUCCCCAUAAUCAUACUUCAGCAUGAUCACUGAACAUCACUUCAAUAAGCAAAUAGGUAGAACUAUAGAUAAAAGUACAGGCCAUGGUCUACACCUUGUAACACUGUCUAUCUGUACACUGAUAAUGAUACAGAUAAUGAACAGAGUUUGCCUCACCUUACUAAUUCAAAGGAAAUAUUUAUGCAUCUUUUCUUACUUAACUAGGAAAAUGAUUCUCAAAUUCAGAUUUUAAGUGGCAACUUCAGUUAGGGUUAAUUGCAUACAAAAGUUCGUUGCAAAUCAACUAUGUACCCCUUUUAUCUACAACUUCCAAUGUCCCACGAGCUACCUCAUGGUAACUAUUGUCAGUGGAAACCUCCUCUUCCUACAUUAGGGUUGAGCUUCUGAAGCAGGGCCAAAGUGCCAAUAUUCUCCUUUCCCAUCCAUGUUUCCAAUCCUGUUUACAGUAGAAACACAACAUAAAAUAGUAUUUCUCCAGAUAGCUUCAAUAGAAGAAAGUAGUUAUUAACAGUUUGUGUUUUAAAAAAUAUCUUUGUUGAGGAUUUUUCUUGGAGAGUGAAGUAUUCAUUGAGUACACUUUUAUUUUUUAAUUUAUUUUUUAAAUUCCCCAAAAUUAAAGGGUAGUUGAUUUAUAGAGUUGUACCAAUUUAUGUGGUACAGGAUAGUAAUACAUAUAUUCAUAAAAUAUGUAUAUAAAAAUGUACAUAUAUAUAUGUAUAUAGACACAUACAUUCCCUUUCUUACAUUAUGUCCCAUCAUUUUCUAUCCUAAGAGAUUGAGUAUAUUUCCCUGGCUGCUUAGUAGAAUCUCAUUGCUCAUCCACUCUAAAUAUAACAGUUUGCAUCUACAAACCCCAAACUCUGAGUUGAUGCCACUCCCUCCCCCUUGGCAACCACAAAUCUGUUCUCUGUGCCUGUGAAUUGGUUCAUUGGAAUAUUACUCAGUCAUAAAAAAAGAACAAAAUAAUGCCAUUUGCAGCAACAUGGAUGCAAACAGAGAUUAUUAUACUAAGUGAGGUAAGUCAGAAAGAGAAAGACAAAUACCAUAUGAUAUCACUUACAUGUGGAAUCUAAAAUUUGGCACAAAUGAACCUAUCUCCAAAACAAAUCGACUUACAGAUACAGUACACUUUUAUUGAAAAUUCACAAACUAUGUGCUGAAUUUCUGGCACUAGGUCCUUCAUGUUUAAUUAACAAGCUGUCUCUGGAGUUCCCAUUGUGGCGCAGUGGUUAACGAAUCUGACUAGGAAUCAUACGGUUGCUGGUUCGAUCCCUGUCCUGGCUCAGUGGGUUAAGGACCAGCAUUGCUGUGAGCUGUGGUGUAGGUUGCAGACGUGGCUUGGAUCCAGCAUUGCUGUGGCUCUGGUGUAGGCUGGCAGCAACAGCUCCGAUUAGAUACCUAGCCUGGGAACCACCAUAUGCAGCGAGAGUGGCCCGAGAAAUGGCAAAAAGACCAAAAAAGAAAAAAGAAAAAACUGUCUCCUUUGGCAGGUGUACAGAUAUUACAGAUAUAUGGGACACACAUACACAGGCUAACAUCUGGAGUUAAAUGAGAUUUCGCCCUUACAUUCAGGUAUUACAUAUGCAUGAGAGGCCUUUCUGUCCUCUGAUUAAAAUGGAAAUAAUACCAAAUCAAUGAUGCACUUGGAAAGAGUACUUGAGAAAUGCCAUUACAUCUCUUGACACAGUAAUUCGCCCAAGGUGGGCACUGAUAAAUCACAUCUAUUUUAACUAAGGCUACAGGGGAAGCCCCAGCUGAUGGCUUCUGACGUCAUCCCUGCAAUUGCUCUACAUGCCUUUGGCUCUUUCUCCUUUCCACUCUAUAUUCUACACAGAUGAGAAACUAAUGUGCUUCAGAGAUUUCCUCAUGUCACUUUUUUCUCUCAUAAGUGAACACCAUCUUACUUCUUUCAAUGCAUCUCUUUUGAACCAGAUAAGACCUCAUCUCCAUUAAGAUCAAUAUCCUCAUUGGCCACCAAACCUGCAGAAUCAUCAGUUUUAGUUCAUCCUGUUUUCUUGCUUCAAAUAAGAUUCCCUCUCUGCCUUCUGUUUCCACACCUACCCACCUUGAAUGCCCCUUUAUAAUUCUGUCUAGUUUUAAAACCAUCCCCAAACACUUUCCAUCUCACAAUUUUCAUAUUUGGACUUUCCUAAUUAAUGACCUCUUCAUCUCCUGACUCUUAUUUCAUUCAGUACCUUAUUGGUUAGUGCAUACUUGACAGGCAAUCAUUUUGACUUUUCAAAGCUUAUGAACUCCGGAGAAGAUGUUUUGUCUUCAGUUUCUUUAUAUAUUUCAGGGUACUGCCUCCUAACUUGAAGACCACUCAUACCCUCAGAGACACUAAAAGACCUUCCAGCUGACACAAAGGAGAACUUUAAGAGGAUCAGGAUCUCUAUCCUUCCAUAAAUAUUCAUCCUCAAUUAGACUGUCCUGAUAAAGAGCUAUAAUCUGAGUACCCUGCAAAUAUUUUUUCGUUAUCUUUAAUUUUUUUUCUUGUGUUUACAAAAGAAAGGCAUAUCUCUCACCUACAAUGAUGGGUCUAUAUGUGGAAAACAAAGGGCUUAGAUAAUAAAAGGCUUGGUUUCAACUCAUUCUUUUCAACAAACUAAAGGAGGACAUCAUCAGAUUGUCAGAUGAUAGACUGCUGGAGCUAAGUCUUUUAAGGUGAUUUACUAUGCAGUGUUUCAAUAAAUAACUCAGUUUAUCACAGUUCAGUUCAAAACGUGUUUGCUGGAUACCCACUGUGUUCAAAAUUAUAACACUGGGAAGAAAAUGGAAGUGAAUGAGAGGAACACAACUAAUUGGUUAAGCAAGACACAGACAAUGAUAUCAACCAUAUGAGCAGUCGAGAACAAGAAAGAUACAAGGCAGAGUGGAGACAUCACUGGAUGUGCAUUAAAGCAAUUGUGCAAAAGAAGGAUUGGCCCAGUGAGAUAGGCAGUGAGGAAUCAAGAUUCUAGCUGGGUUUUGAAUAACUAGUAUGGUUUCCAUGGUUGAGACAGACGUUAGGAUUGAUGGAAAGGUAGUUUGAUGUAAAACUAACCUUCUUCGGAGUCCACUAAGAGCUUAAAAGUUGGCCUAUUUGCUCUUGGGCCCAAAACUAAAUUGAUAAACCAUAGUAACACAGAUUCAUACAAAUAACAUAUCAAUUUUUUUUGCUAGUUUAAAAGCAAAUAUGCUUUUGAAUACAAAGAUAGUUUAAAGAAUCAAGUUUAGGAGUUUCCAUUGUAGCUCAGUGGUAACAAACCCAACUAGUAUCCAUGAGGAUACAAGUUCGAUCCCUGGCCUUAUUCAGUGGGUUAAGGGUUGUACAUUGCUGUGGCUAUGGUGUAGGCCGGAGGCUGCUCUGAUUUGAUUCCUAGCCUGGGAACUUCCAUGUGCUGCAC